UGACAAAAUAUGAUUCUUGGGUUGAUUGGUCAUUUAGAAACUAGCCAAAAGUGAGACUUUUAAUGUAGAACAUUUUUCAGAAAUGGGUACAAAGAAAAAUGCAUAUUACUGUAUAUUUCAGAGUGUUUAUGUGAACCUUGUAUUUAAUUGAGAGUCCCAUGUACGUUCUGCAGCCUUUUUGCUGCUUCUAUCAUCUGAAGUUUGUGUAGUACAAAUAAGGCCUUUGGGAUUCUUAAUGACAUUUAUGUUAAAAUGUUCUCUUCUCUUUAAACACCGUUUUCCAAUCCACCUGUCAGGGAGUCCAAAUCGUGUCUGUGUUGAUGAUGCUAUACUUUGUAGCUAGAAAAACAAUUUUAGUGUUGUGGGCUCUGUAUUCAGACUUCCUUUUUACAAGACCGAUGGGCAGUGAUAGAUUAUUUUAUCAUAUUUAAUGCAUGGGAAAUAGUGUGCUGAGGAAGCUAUUAAAAGUAUAACUCAGUGAAUUGGGUCUGAGUUUUAAAUGAGAUAUUUCAAAAUUGGCUUGCCACUGUAAAAGCGACUAAAUAAUAAUAUGAUACUGUUCUUUAUGAUCUUGUCAUGUUUCACUGAUAUGUUUGGGGUCUUCACUAUGUAAAAAAUGUCAAAAUUGUAAUGAGCAAGCAUGUACAAGUAGUCGUAAAUCAAAGGUUUUAAACAGGACUGCAUUUUCAAUUAGGAAAAGCUGUUUGGCAGAUAGCAUCCAAUGCAAAAACAGAAAUAUCGUAACGUUCUGCUUAGUGGGCAAGAUAAGAUAGGAAAGACAUGCUCAAAGAGGCAAAAGAAUCAUUGCUAUCAUUCAUUCUACACUAGUUUGAAGAAGUUUUUGUACAUCAGAGCACUUCCUUCAGCACACUUUUUUGCCUUCAGAUUUCAUUUUUUAUAAAAUGAGAAGACUAAUGAUAAACUGUAGAAAUCAAAAUUUAUUGAGAAAUCUGUUUCUCCUAACAGAUAGUAACCCUGCCAUGAUAUACUACUUCAACAAUGUUAUAAAAUUUAUGUGAUAAUAUACAUUUUAACCUGGGAUUUCUAAAUUGCUUUAACAAAUGCUAAUCCUGAGAGUUGCCCUGCAGGACUCAAAAGGGAAAGGUUUUGGGACGUGGCAGAACCCUGCAGGGACAUGGAAUUAAGGCCAUUGCAAUGUAUCAUCUUUGUAGCAUUGUCAUCACUCCUAAGCUGCCUUCACAGUUUUAGUACACUAAGAUGAGGAAAUCGAAAAUGGGCAGAGAAAGCUCAUACUGUAUAAUUGAAGACAGUGACAGAGAACGUGUCAGUUAUGCCAAAACUCUUUUGAUUUCUGUUCCAGGAUUUCCAACAAGAGGGGAAAGGAAUGACUUGGGAGGGUGGGAAAGACAUUAGGAGUUGUUUUUAUUUUUUACCUUGGAAGCUUUAGCUACCAAUCCAGUACCCUCCUAACUAGAAUGUAUACACAUCAGCAGGACUGACUGACUACUUCAUUAGAGAUAUACUGUACUCAUUGGGGGCCUUGGGGGUACUGCUGUUCUUAUGUGGGAUUUUAAUGUUGUAAUGUAUUGCAUCUUAAUGUAUUGAAUUCAUUUUGUUGUACUAUAUUGGUUGGCAUUUUAUUAAAAUAAAUUGUAUUGUAUCAUAUUUGUAUGUUUUAAGAGAAAAUAAUAUAAAAUACAAUAUUUGUACUAUUAUAUAGUGCAAAAACUACAAAUCUGUGCCUCUGCCUCUUGAAUUAAUUCUUUGGUUGCUUGCAUUUGGGAAGGGAAUGGAGAAAGGAAAGAACCAAUAAAGCUUUCAAAGUUCAAG
RNAcentral lists this long non-coding RNA (1791 nucleotides) under Homo sapiens (human). RNAcentral describes it as "non-protein coding lnc-FLT3-2:1". Lineage: Eukaryota; Metazoa; Chordata; Mammalia; Primates; Hominidae. The record is from RNAcentral.